GAUGAACGCUGGCGGCGUGCCUAAUACAUGCAAGUCGAGCGAACAGACGAGGAGCUUACUCCUCUGACGUUAGCGGCGGACGGGUGAGUAACACGUGGAUAACCUACCUAUAAGACUGGGAUAACUCCGGGAAACCGGAGCUAAUACCGGAUAACAUGUUGAACCGCAUGGUUCAACAGUGAAAGACGGUCUUGCUGUCACUUAUAGAUGGAUCCGCGUCGCAUUAGCUAGUUGGUAAGGUAACGGCUUACCAAGGCAACGAUGCGUAGCCGACCUGAGAGGGUGAUCGGCCACACUGGAACUGAGACACGGUCCAGACUCCUACGGGAGGCAGCAGUAGGGAAUCUUCCGCAAUGGGCGAAAGCCUGACGGAGCAACGCCGCGUGAGUGAAGAAGGUCCUCGGAUCGUAAAACUCUGUUAUUAGGGAAGAACAAAUGUGUAAGUAACUAUGCACGUCUUGACGGUACCUAAUCAGAAAGCCACGGCUAACUACGUG
This 497-nucleotide ribosomal RNA is filed under the name uncultured bacterium. Its description in RNAcentral is "partial 16S ribosomal RNA". It matches the Rfam family "Bacterial small subunit ribosomal RNA", at positions 28 to 507 of the family's 1533-position model. The record is from RNAcentral.